AGAAUGGAAAGGGGGAAAUAAAAGAAAGGGGUUUGGUUGGGCUUUGAAGGAAAACAAAGAAGGGAAUCUGGGAUGGAAUGAAGGGAUUUUGAAGGAAAGUCCCAAAGAAAAGAACCCCAAAAGAGAAAUAGAGAGAGAGAUGGGGACACACCAAAGGACGCUCCGUCUGGGAUUCCUCCUCUCUUCCUCUUUGGAAAAUUCCAGAUACUUUCUUUCUCUCAAAUCUUCUAUUACUGAGGAGAUGAGGUGAGGCGUAUGGGGCCGUGAUUCAGUAUCUUCUGGAAGCCGUUUAAGCUACGCUACUUCUUUUCUACAAACGAAUUAUUAUGGGUUUGUUUGUUGUCAA
This is a long non-coding RNA of Arachis stenosperma, 346 nucleotides long. RefSeq lists it as uncharacterized. The transcript is spliced from 2 exons. The record is from RefSeq and is a predicted model, not a curated record. NCBI's taxonomy places the organism in Eukaryota, Viridiplantae, Streptophyta, Magnoliopsida, Fabales, Fabaceae.